Molecule: transfer RNA, 73 nt
Filed under: Camelus bactrianus (Bactrian camel)
Lineage: Eukaryota; Metazoa; Chordata; Mammalia; Artiodactyla; Camelidae
Also listed under: 2 other names
Rfam family: tRNA
About the family: Transfer RNA (tRNA) molecules are approximately 80 nucleotides in length. Their secondary structure includes four short double-helical elements and three loops (D, anti-codon, and T loops).
Source: Rfam by way of RNAcentral
GAGGGUAUAGCUCAAGUGGUAGAGUGCAUGAUUAGCAUGCAUGAGGUCCUGGGUUCAAUCCCCAGUGCCUCCU